GAGGGUAUAGCUCAAGUGGUAGAGCACAUGCUUAGCAUGCAUGAGGUCCUGGGUUCAAUCCCUGGUACCUCCU
RNAcentral lists this transfer RNA (73 nucleotides) under Camelus bactrianus (Bactrian camel). It matches the Rfam family "tRNA". From Rfam's summary of the family: Transfer RNA (tRNA) molecules are approximately 80 nucleotides in length. Their secondary structure includes four short double-helical elements and three loops (D, anti-codon, and T loops). The record is from Rfam by way of RNAcentral. Lineage: Eukaryota; Metazoa; Chordata; Mammalia; Artiodactyla; Camelidae. RNAcentral also lists the same sequence under 2 other names.